UACAGAGGGGGCAAGCGUUGUUCGGAAUUACUGGGCGUAAAGGGCGCGUAGGCGGCCUGCUAAGUCGAACGUGAAAUCCCCGAGCUCAACUCGGGAACUGCGUCCGAUACUGGCAGGCUUGAAUCCGGGAGAGGGAUGCGGAAUUCCAGGUGUAGCGGUGAAAUGCGUAGAUAUCUGGAGGAAUACCGGUGGCGAAGGCGGCAUCCUGGACCGGCAUUGACGCUGAGGAGCGAAAGCUAGGGGAGCAAACAGG
RNAcentral lists this ribosomal RNA (253 nucleotides) under uncultured bacterium. RNAcentral's name for it is "partial 16S ribosomal RNA". It matches the Rfam family "Bacterial small subunit ribosomal RNA", at positions 524 to 776 of the family's 1533-position model. The record is from RNAcentral.